Non-coding RNA from Paramuricea clavata, 293 nucleotides. Lineage: Eukaryota; Metazoa; Cnidaria; Anthozoa; Malacalcyonacea; Plexauridae. The record is from the annotation of a GenBank genome assembly.
UAGUAACCUUUACUUGAGUUUCACUUAAUUUCAAACAGACUUGAUACGUUAUAUGUUCCUCAAGAAAAUUAUCUUUUGGUUGAUGUUGAGAUGCAGUUGCAUGUAAGCCUACUUCGAAACACUUUGCGAUUUACAAGGCUUCGCUGAGAGAGCGAAACAGAAGACGGUAUUAAAUUGCCGCUUGAAACGAAACGAUCUGGACUCUGAACGCUCUCUUCUUUUGUAGAGUUCUUUACCAAAUGAAAUAACUGAAAUAAAUUUCGUACUUUCCGCCGCCAACAAGAAUUGCACAC